AGUGAACGCUGGCGGUAGGCCUAACACAUGCAAGUCGAACGGCAGCACAGUAAGAGCUUGCUCUUACGGGUGGCGAGUGGCGGACGGGUGAGGAAUACAUCGGAAUCUACUUUUUCGUGGGGGAUAACGUAGGGAAACUUACGCUAAUACCGCAUACGACCUACGGGUGAAAGCAGGGGGUCUUCGGACCUUGCGCGAUUGAAUGAGCCGAUGUCGGAUUAGCUAGUUGGCGGGGUAAAGGCCCACCAAGGCGACGAUCCGUAGCUGGUCUGAGAGGAUGAUCAGCCACACUGGAACUGAGACACGGUCCAGACUCCUACGGGAGGCAGCAGUGGGGAAUAUUGGACAAUGGGCGCAAGCCUGAUCCAGCCAUACCGCGUGGGUGAAGAAGGCCUUCGGGUUGUAAAGCCCUUUUGUUGGGAAAGAAAAGCAGCAGGUUAAUACCCCGCUGUUCUGACGGUACCCAAAGAAUAAGCACCGGCUAACUUCG
RNAcentral lists this ribosomal RNA (490 nucleotides) under uncultured bacterium. RNAcentral's name for it is "partial 16S ribosomal RNA". It matches the Rfam family "Bacterial small subunit ribosomal RNA", at positions 29 to 505 of the family's 1533-position model. The record is from RNAcentral.